RNAcentral lists this long non-coding RNA (253 nucleotides) under Ananas comosus (pineapple). RNAcentral describes it as "long non-coding RNA (ACOM_LNC011885)". The record is from RNAcentral. Lineage: Eukaryota; Viridiplantae; Streptophyta; Magnoliopsida; Poales; Bromeliaceae.
AGCAAACACAUCUCUUCACAUCGAAACAAUCGUCAUCGGAUAAUCGUUCCGAUCCGGGUUCCCGGAAGUGUCAAUUUCGAAACCAGAACCCACCGUCGCUCACCCGUCGUUUCCGAACCCUCGAAACGACACCGGUGACUAGCCAACCAGGCUCAGCAACAAUAUGAUUUACAGUGAGGCACGGUCGGAAGAAUUCCAAACCGAAAUCGCGUUCCGUCGGCGGAUUUCGCCGAAAAACGCACCGAAAAUCGAC